AAACCUGCAAUAAACCGUCCUCUACAAUCUCGGAUUAGUCCGCCGCUAGCUCUGUUGCUCUCAGGUUGGAACACAGACCCAUCGACAUUCAACUUUAUCCAAUCCUCUUCCAGGGGUUCCCAAACAACAUCUUCUCUGGCGAGUCUCAAUUUCUUGCUACUCUGUUCCGUGAUAUUCAGAACAGAAUUAUAGUUUUCUGCCAAUGUCUGAAUCAAGUGUUGCAAUCGGUUGCUCUGGGGGGAAGUGUGAUUGAAAAUUAUCUCAUUCCUGUACCUCCAUGCUGUGUUGCAGGUUAUGAUGAAAGUAAUGGUCCAUGGUGUACCAUUUUGAAGUACAGUGGUUUUCAUCAGGUUAGUUUUUAGCUAGUCUUUAUAAUUUUGACUGAAAAACAUUCCCUGUGAAUCACUGGCUUCAAUGCUCUUCCAGACAUUACGGAUAUAGGGACAAUCACGUAACGUGUGGACCAAAGUCUCAUCAUCUCCUUGGCAUCUCGGGUAGCUCCCAUCCUCUGUAAGUCUUCUUCUUUUC
RNAcentral lists this long non-coding RNA (528 nucleotides) under Arachis ipaensis. Its description in RNAcentral is "long non-coding RNA (AIPA_LNC000190)". The record is from RNAcentral. Lineage: Eukaryota; Viridiplantae; Streptophyta; Magnoliopsida; Fabales; Fabaceae.